This 497-nucleotide ribosomal RNA is filed under the name uncultured bacterium. RNAcentral describes it as "partial 16S ribosomal RNA". It matches the Rfam family "Bacterial small subunit ribosomal RNA", at positions 28 to 507 of the family's 1533-position model. The record is from RNAcentral.
GAUGAACGCUGGCGGCGUGCCUAAUACAUGCAAGUCGAGCGAACAGACGAGGAGCUUGCUCCUCUGACGUUAGCGGCGGACGGGUGAGUAACACGUGGAUAACCUACCUAUAAGACUGGGAUAACUUCGGGAAACCGGAGCUAAUACCGGAUAAUAUAUUGAACCGCAUGGUUCAAUAGUGAAAGACGGUUUUGCUGUCACGUAUAGAUGGAUCCGCGCCGCAUUAGCUAGUUGGUAAGGUAACGGCUUACCAAGGCAACGAUGCGUAGCCGACCUGAGAGGGUGAUCGGCCACCCUGGAACUGAGACACGCUCCAGACUCCUUCGGGAGCCAGCCGUAGGCAAUCUUCCGCCAUGGGCGAAAGCCUGACGGCGCAACGCCGCGUGAGUGAUGAAGGUCUUCGGAUCGUAAAACUCUGUUAUUCGGGAAGAACAAAUGUGUAAGUAACUAUGCACGUCUUGACGGUACCUAAUCAGAAAGCCACGGCUAACUACGUG